RNAcentral lists this RNase P RNA (362 nucleotides) under Vicingus serpentipes. Its description in RNAcentral is "Bacterial RNase P class A". It matches the Rfam family "Bacterial RNase P class A". Rfam says of the family: Ribonuclease P (RNase P) is a ubiquitous endoribonuclease, found in archaea, bacteria and eukarya as well as chloroplasts and mitochondria. Its best characterised activity is the generation of mature 5'-ends of tRNAs by cleaving the 5'-leader elements of precursor-tRNAs. Lineage: Bacteria; Pseudomonadati; Bacteroidota; Flavobacteriia; Flavobacteriales; Vicingaceae. The record is from Rfam by way of RNAcentral.
AGUACAAAUCGUUCUAUCGCGUUACACUUUUUGUGUAAUGAGGAAAGUCCGGACAGCAAAGAGCAUCUAACCCGGGGAAACGCGGGGUGCAGAAAUGUAACAGCUAGUGCAGCAGAAAAUAUACCGCCACACAUUGUGUGGUAAGGGUGAAAAGGUGAGGUAAGAGCUCACCAGUUAUAAUAGUAAUAUUGUAAGCUUGGUAAACCUUUAGAGCUGAAAGAUCAAAUAAACCAAGGCUUGAGGGUUGCUCGCCCAAUCUUGGAGGGUAGAUCGAAUGAGGGUAGAGGCAACUUUACUCCCAGAUAAAUGAUAGAAUUCCGAUUUAUCGGGAACAGAAACUGGCUUAUAGAUUUGUAUUUUAU